CAAUGUCAACAUGCCCACCACUGUUGCCCCACACCUCUUAUGGUCCUCUCCUGUCUGUCAUCUUAUCAGGACUCUGGCAGACACGGUGAUCAGGGUUACCAAGCGCUGCCUGUGUGUUUGUUUGCUUCUUAUCCCGCCUCGUGGCAUGGCAUGCGGCACACUGCGCCUCAAGCCCCUUAGCAUACCCUGCAUGGACGACAGAGAUAAACCAAAAAAAAAAAAAACAAACAAACAAAACGGCACUAAAGAGCAGCCAUCAGAGAAAACAGACAUCACUGGAGGAAUCUGCGCGCCCUUCCCUCAGGAGAGGAGACCAGUACUGCAGACUCUUGAAUGUCAGACUGGAAAGUUGAGUGAUGAUGCAGUAAAAUUGUGACGGAAACAGCUGCCCAGUAAGCUAGUUGGAGGAAGGAUGGUCUUUUGGAAAAUGGCCGAUGGUCGCUGGUGAAGAAAUAUGGAGACAAACAGCAGUAACAGAGUUUCAGGUACCCCCAUAGUGCUGUAAAGAUGUCGUCUGGAUGAUCAUCCCCUUGCGCCUUGCUCCCCACCUGCUUGGAAAACAUUUGGACAAGGCGGUUGAGGGCUUCGAAGUACGGCUUGUACCUGAAAGGCUCCAUCUCUUCUUCUGUUCCUGCCACAGCCGCCGGACCUGAAAAUUGCCGUGCCCUGGGUUCCCAACCCUGGUUGAACCGGUCUCUGGAUUGGACUCAGUGAUAGGGGAGACUCACCUCCACCCUACGGAAUAACUCAACGUAGGGGAGUCUGCUCAGCCCGUCUUGGAGACCCGCACCACCACACCAAAGUACCUCUAUUGGGAUCGACAGUCGAGUCGGCUGUCCCACUACGACAUUGUGCCCCCGGCACGAUGUCCCGGACCUCUUGGAGGUCGAUGCGGUCAACACGCGAUUUUACCAAUACUAAAUAAUAAAUACACAACUUGCUGAAUGCAGGAUUAUUCACCACAAAAAUUCAGUCCACUCUUCAUUCCACCAUAUCAAAAUUUUGAUUUGCAGCAGAUUAGGAGAAUUUGAAUAAACAGGUUUGCCCCUUACCUUAUAGUUGGCCGGUCAGAUAUUGAGGAUGAAAAAGUGGACCACGGAUUCUCCAGAAACACCCUUUGGAAAGGAAAUCACGUCGGAGUCACCAUUUUGUUGGAGAGUUUGUGCCAAUUGCCCGUUACACCACUACCCCCCACCACCAACAACCAACCCCCCAUCCGCCCCGGAGUUCAUAGAGGCUCUGGAUGUUGUGUGGCUGUCCUGGUUGACACGCCUCUGCAACAUUGCAUGGACAUCGGCGACAGUGCCUCUGGAUUGGCAGGCUGGGGUGGUGGUCCCCCUUUUUAACAAGGGUGACCGGAGGGUGUGUUCCAACUACAGGGGGAUCACACUGCUCAGUCGCCCUGGUAAGGUCUAUUCAGGGGUGCUGGAAGGUUCACUGGGAAGUCGAAUCUCAGAAUCAGGAGGAGCAGUGUGGUUUUCGUCCUGGCCGUGGAACAGUGGACUACACCCUCGGCAGGGUCCAUGUUAUUUCUCCCAACCAUUCUAUGUGUUUUGUGGACUUGGAGAAGGCGUUCGACCGUGUGGGGGGUGCUUUGGGAGUAUGGGGUACCAAACCGCCUUAUACGGGCUGUUCGGUCUCUGUACGACCAGUGUCAGAGUUUUGUCUGCAUUGCAGUAUGUCGGACUCGUUUCUGGUGAGGGUUAGACUCUGCCAAGGCUGCCCUUUGUCACUCAUUCUGUUCAUUACUUUUAUGGACAGAAUUUCUAGGCACAGCCGAGGCGUAGAUGGGGUCUGGUUUGAUGGCCUCGGUAUUGUAUCUCUGCUUUUUGUAGAUGAUGUGGUUGAGAGACUAUGUCUCCCGGCUGGCCUUGGAGCGCCUCAGGAUCCCCCGGAAGAGCUGGAUGAAGUGGCUGGGGAGAGUGAAAUCUGGGCCUCCCUGCUAAAGCUACUGCACGACCCGACGUCGGAUAAGCGGAAGAAAAUGGAUGGAUGGAUGGAUGGAUAGCAUCGUAAUUACCAAUAUUAUUUAACAAUUAACAUUUACUAAGGUGAGCUGAGGAAAAGUUUGCUGAGGAGUACCCCUGCAGUGAUAUCACAAGACACAACAAGAUUCUAAGAUUUUUUUGACAGUGUGCAAUUCAUCGACAGUUUUUAGUGGACCUCGACAGACUUUUAGUCAUGAAAGUCACGAGUACCCACCAAAACAGCCAGGCGAAAAGGAAAAAAAAGACAACUCCUCAACUGACAAGUGAUCUUGACUCUCUCAAUCCAGCGGUCUACGUUUUGGAUUCCAUCAACAGGAAAAGAUAGUCCCUUGGCUUUGUACAUCAGGAGAUCUGACAGAAUUUGCCUCAUUUGUGGUAGAUAAAUAAUUUGGUAAUAACAUCGAUGGUCUACUGUUUAGAGACAUUUGGUGACCUACUCCUCUACCAUAGGGGCAUAUUUGUAAAGUAUAUGUCACGGAAAGAGUAUAACCACUUUUAUAUGUAAAAAUUCACUCUGUUACCUCAGACAGAGCAAUUGAGAGGCAAGACGCUUCUCUGGGUUACUGAAAGAUGUGACUGUGAUUGAAGGUCAGAUGACAAAGAUGUUAUGGGGUCAGUUAAAAUUCAUAUUUGCAUUGUUUAUUUUAUUUAAUACAUGCACGUAACUUCCAGCAAGUUUUCAACCAUUGUUUAGCUAAAAAUCUGGUUUUUAUGAUGCAUAUUGACUCCUCCCCGAACACACCUGAAGCUCAAGACACCGGGGCGUGGUUACUCUAUCCAUCACAAGGGCUGCAAGAAGUGACGAUGCAAUUGACAAACACAGCGUGCUACACACUAAGUGCAAUGGCGAACAACGUGUUGGAAUAUGUGGAGGAGGACGAUUUCGACAGACAGGAGCACCCAAUUGAACUUGGCAUCGUCAAAGCGUACGUUUGAGCCGAUCAGACAGUGACGAUGACGAGCAGCCAAGUAGCAGCUGUACAACAGAAAAAGAGAGUGGCCACUGGCUCGAUGUGACGGUAUGUCAAAAGCAUGUCUUUUUAUACAGUCAUGGCUUGAAAUAAUGCCACUCCAGGGGUGCCAAUAUUUUGUAGCACGACUAUACGUAUUAUGUAUUCAAAUGUGUUUCAGUGACAUGGCACAAGCUUUUACAUAGGAUGCAGUAUUCCUAUAUAUUGUGUGCCCCUCACUCAAGUAGCGUUAUAACACGCUGCACAGAGUCUUUGCCGUGUGUCUGUUGGCUUGUCAUAUAGGCAAAAAUACAGAUGACAGUAUUGAAAAGUACUGUGUGAGUCUUUUUUUUCCUACUCCCCAGUGCAUAGUAACCAUAAUAGAGUCGUAGGUAUAUACAAGGAAAUGCUCACCUCGUCUGUAUGAGAUUAAGUUCUCUUGCUGGCGGUGGAGGUCCCGAUGGCCGUAGGAAAAGUAGUUGGCACCGCAGCUGGUUUCAGCCUCUGCUUGUAUCCAAUGCGUUCUGCUAAGACUAAGUCUCUCAAAACACGCCGGUUCGAAGUGAUCGGCACAGUUUGGAAUGCUUGCUAGGCACCCAUAGCUGACCACGGUUCUUCCCGUCAAUUGACUUUCCCUAUCCAUCCAUCCAUCCAUCCAUUUUCUGAGCCGCUUAUCCACACAAGGGAGUGCUGGAGCCUAUCCCAGCUAUAUUCGGGCAGGAGGUGGGGUACACCCUGAACUGGUUGCCAGCCAAUCACAGGGCACAUAAAAACAAACAACCAUUCACACUCACAUUCACACCUAGGGGCAAUUUUAGAGUCUUCAAUUAAUCUACCAUGCAUGUUUUUGGGAUGUGGGAGGAAAGCGGUGUGCCCGGAGAAACCCCACGCAGGCACGGUGAGAACAUGCAAACUUCAUACAGGCGGGGCCAGGAUUUGAACCCCGGUCCUCAGAACUGUGAGGCAGACGGUCUAACCAGUCGUUCGCCGUGCCGCCUUUCCCUAUCCACUGGUCAUGUAUUUCUUUUUCACUUGGAAAGCCAAAAAAAAAAAAAAAAAAAAAAAAAAACUUGCCGCUGCCUGAAGCAUUUGUACAACCAAAUGCCACACAAUAAACCACCGUGACAUCUUUAAAUCAUACGACAACAAAUAUACAAGGACGGGAACAACAGCAUGGAACAACAGCACACAAUGGCGAAUGAACAGGAUGUUUGGCUUGUGUGACGUCACAGCGCUGGAAAGAGACCAAGACCGGAAGGCACAUUCUGCAUCAUAUUUAUCAAUUUAACUGCUGUAUAUCUGCUAUUUAAUCACUUCGAAAUGGCAAAUGUGGUUUGUAAAGGGAUUCUAGAGUUAUCAAGAAAAAAUUGAAAAUCUUUGUCCUCUGACCUUUAAGUGCAGAGGCAAACACAUCAAUGCACUCUUCACUAUGACACACUUUGGAUUCUGGAGGUAAAACAGAGCACACAUAAACGCACACACAAACCAAAAUAGUUUUUGUGUGUUUGGUCGGAUAAGGCUUAGGUCUUCCGAUACAGCGCUGGUAUUGACUUAAUACCUCCAUCUGCUGAAUAAAAAGAACAUAGACUUUACAAAAUUAUUCUUACAGCUUUUUUAUCUGUCA
Phyllopteryx taeniolatus (common seadragon) is the source of this 4562-nucleotide long non-coding RNA. RefSeq lists it as uncharacterized. NCBI's taxonomy places the organism in Eukaryota, Metazoa, Chordata, Actinopteri, Syngnathiformes, Syngnathidae. The transcript has 5 exons. The record is from RefSeq and is a predicted model, not a curated record.